This 304-nucleotide long non-coding RNA is filed under the name Brassica napus (rape). RNAcentral describes it as "long non-coding RNA (BNAP_LNC019732)". Lineage: Eukaryota; Viridiplantae; Streptophyta; Magnoliopsida; Brassicales; Brassicaceae. The record is from RNAcentral.
UCACAAAAAUAGUCCUCAAAAACUAAAAUGACCAAAAUAGCAUUUUAUCUUUUGAAAAAUUUAAAUUUUUUUUAUUUUUCAAAAUUUGAAAUCUUAUCCCAGAAUCCCACUCCCCAACUCUAAACCCUAAAACCUAAACUCUAAACCCUAAACCCUAAACUUUAAACCCUAAACCCUAAAUCCUAAACCCCACCCCUUAACUAUAAACCCUAAACCCUAAACCCCACCCCUAAACUCUAAACCCUAAACCCUAAACUCUAAAUCCUAAAACCUAAACCCUAAAUCCUAAACUCCACCCCUUAAC